Molecule: RNA transcript, 8028 nt
Organism: Astyanax mexicanus (Mexican tetra)
Lineage: Eukaryota; Metazoa; Chordata; Actinopteri; Characiformes; Acestrorhamphidae
Gene: stard13a
Gene name: StAR-related lipid transfer (START) domain containing 13a
Exons: 16
Source: RefSeq, a predicted model, not a curated record
UGAGGAUGAACAGCUAUCUCUUUUUAUCUAAAGUCUCUGUGAAUGUGUGAUGUGCGUAGGAAGGAACUGAACUUUGAAUUAAGAGGGAUAAUCAUGUCUGGUGUUAGUGGCCCAGUUCUGACCCUUCCAGUCCACCAGAGCUCUCGGACCCUGGAUACGGACGUUUCUCUCCCCUCUGUUCCGCUCAUUUUCCACUCUGCAGACUCCAGACCCUCUCUGCACUCUGCUGAACUGUGUGGGCUAACUGAGCGCACUUGGACUUGCUGCUGUCCUGCAGCACAGCCUUUUCACCUGGGUCAGAACCUGCCCCAGGUAGACGCUGCACCAUUACGCAUAGUUAAGCACAAGCCCAGCUCCAUCGUCUUCUGCGAAAAGACUAAUUCAACACAGAACAGUUACCUCAUCAGAUCUGAACACAGAUCCUGCAGCAGUGAGAGUUCAGCUGAAGAGGCUCCGUCAGGACAGUGUGACGACGAUGAUGAUGGCCGUGUGGUUGAUGAUGAAGAUGAGGAUAGUGUUCCUCUUGAGCUGUACAGACAGUUCUUCAUCAGCCGCAAACGGAGAGACAUGAACAUGAAGAGACUAAACAGAAGAAGAUCAAAAGUAGGAACACACACUUCUGUGAGAACAGUUGAAGAGGACACUGGAAUGAAGGACAAAAAGGAUGGUGUUUCAGUAAAUGGAGAAAAGGUGGGGCUUAGGAUGAACACUGAAACCGCAGAAAUUGAAGCAAAGGAAGCAUGCGAUUGGCUGAGGGCAGCAGGAUUCCCGCAAUAUGCCCAACUAUAUGAAGAUUCACAGUUUCCCAUUGACAUCUCUGCUGUCAAAAAGGACCAUGACUUCCUCGACAGAGAUCUGGUGGAGCCGCUGUGCCGGCGGCUCAACACUCUGAACAAGUGCGCCCCCAUGAAACUGGACGUGGGCUUCCCCAAGAAGAGAAACGAGGAUUCAGAUGAGGACGACCUGCUGGCCAUUAGCAGCAGAUGGACGUUUGAGAGGAGCAGCCGCCGCUGGUCUCGUCUGCAGGACAUUGACCUCCUCCUGGCGGGCGCAGAUGGGCGGAGUACUUUACAAGGUCCGGGGAUGCGAACUACAGUGAGCAGCGAGAGCGUCCUGACCGACCUGAGUGAGCCGGAGAUCUGCUCCCUGAACAGCGAGGACUCCCUCUCCAUCAUGCCUGACUCCGCCUCCCUCGCCCCACUGAGUGUGCCCCGGGACCUGCCUCACUACAACUCACUUCCUGCCAAAAGUGGGCGGCGUGGGCGCACACGCGCCAAGGACUUCUUACGGCGGAUGGAGACUUUGGGCCGGUCGUGGGCACCCUCGGUGGGACGCCCAGAGCGCCGUUCAUUGGCCAUCAGUGGGCCAAUCCUGCAGAGCCAACCAGAAGCUCUCAAAAAAAUGCACUGCGUCCCAAUAGUCAACGGAGAGACAUUAAGUUUUGAAAAGUCACCGUCUGCUUCCAAUUGCUCAACCGUGCUUGCUAAUAGUGAGGAGACUAGCCAGUUAGAGAACAGUGGUAUUACCGGGCCCGACUUGAAGGAGAGUGUAUCCAAACCCCAUAGUGCCAGCAAGAGAGCAGGAGUGUACCUGGAAGAUCUGGAUGUGCUCUCUGGCGUCCCCCAAAGGAGGAGGCCUGUAGAGCAGAGCCGCAGACACGAGUUUUGCUCUUACGAUGACCUGGUGGUGCACAUCCCAAAGGACCACAAGCCGGGAACCUUCCCUAAGGCACUGUCCAUUGAGAGCCUGGCCCCUGCAAGUGGGAACACUGGAAACUGGAGGGUCCAAGAGCCAGAACGGGUUCGGCCGCCACGGGUUGUGAAGACUGCCGGUCACAGAGAGCAGAGGCCGGUGACGCGCUGCUGCCCUCGGGGAAGCCGGAUCAGUGUUUAUGACAAUGUGCCGGGUUCACACCUGUAUGCCAGCACUGGAGACCUGAUGGACCUGGAGAAAGAGGACCUCUUCCCGCAUUUAGAUGAUAUCCUGCAGCAUGUGAACGGCCUGCAGCAGAUCGUGGAUCAUUGGUCCAAGAAUGUCUUGCCAGAGGGUGAUGGCGAGGGGGAGGGGGAGAUGACGGAUGCGCAGUCGUCCAGUCAGAUUACGUUGGAUUUCGAAGGGACCUCGGUGAAUACGCCCAGCGAUGGAGACAGGGACGGUGUGUCUCUAAACGAAACAGACACUUCAAGCACUCGAGAGCGACGGGACUCAGGGGUGGGGGCAUCACUAACACGACCUUGUCUCAGGUGGCCCAGUUUUAGGAUGUCAAAUCGUCUCAGCCAAUCAGGAGCUUGCUUACAAAUCUCCAGCCAGUCAGCAAGCCAGCUCAGCUUGUUGCAGAAAUUCUCAUUGCUACGUCUGACAGCCAUCAUGGAGAAAUACUCCAUAUCCAACAAACACGGCUGGACCUGGUCAGUGCCAAAGUUCAUGAAGCGGAUGAAGGGACCAGAAUACAAGGAUAAGAGUGUGUUUGCAGUGCCGCUGAUCCUGCAUGUGCAGCGCUAUGGCCAGCCUCUGCCGCUCUGCCUGCAGCUAGCGUUGCGCUACCUCCGGAGCCAGUGUCUGGACCAGGUAGGGCUUUUCCGCAAGUCUGGUGUGAAGUCUCGAAUCCUGGCUUUGAGGCAGAUGUGCGACAGUUCACCAGAGAGUGUGGACUAUGAGGACCAGUGUGCGUACGACGUGGCAGAUAUGGUAAAGCAGUUCUUUAGAGACCUUCCUGAACCAUUGCUCACCAGCAAAUUGGGCGAGACCUUCCUCCAUAUUUACCAGUACGUCCCUAAAGAGCAGCGCUUGCAGGCCGUGCAGGCAGCAAUCAUGCUGAUGGCAGACGAGAACCGUGAGGUCCUGCAGACCCUGCUCUGCUUCCUGAGUGAUGUCACUUCCUCUGUGGAGGAGAACCAGAUGACACCAAUGAACCUGGCUGUGUGUCUCGCUCCCUCUCUCUUCCAUCUCAACAUUAUGAAGAACGACAACCUGUCUCCGAGGGCCAUCCAGAAGAAGUACGCCACUGGAAGACCUGACCAAAAGGACCUCAAUGAGAACCUUGCUGCCACCCAUGGACUUGCCCAUAUGAUCACUGAGUGCAACCGGCUCUUUGAGGUUCCAAAGGAGAUGGUCACUCAGUCCAGGAACUCCUAUAUGGAGGCUGAGCUGCUGGUGCCCCCGCUGGACGAGCUGUGCAAACAGUGUCAGCAGUGUGAGGAAGAGGAAGAGGAAGUAGAAGAGGAAGGCACAUAUCGCUGUCACCUGCAGCGACAGAUCCAGAACCUGCUGAAGGAAGCCAGAGACAAGACCAAGUGCUGGGUAGCCCGACCCAAUAUUAACAAUGUGGAGCUGUCUUUCAGAAAGGUGGGUGAUGGAUCUCCACUGCGUCGGUGGCGUGUCUCAGUUGAAGUGGAGGCUCCACCCUGUGUGGUGCUGAACCGUGUGCUGCGAGAGCGCCAUCUGUGGGACAGUAACCUCCUGCAGGGGAAAGUUCUGGAAACACUGGACAAGCAGACUGAGGUGUACCAGUAUGCCAUCAACAGCAUGGCCCCUCACCCCAGCAGAGACUUUGUGGUGCUAAGGACAUGGCGUACAGACAUGCCAAAGGGAGCUUGUGUGUUGGUGUCGGUUUCCAUUGACCAUGAGGACAGCAUGCCUAUGGCAGGCGUUCGGGGCGUGGUUCUGGAGUCUCAGUACCUGCUGGAACAGUGCGGUUCUGGCAAGUCCAGACUCACACACAUCUGCCGAGUGGACCUCAAGGGGAAGUCUCUGGAGUGGUAUAACAAAGCAUUUGGACAUCUAUGUGCUGCUGAGGUGGCCUCCAUCCGCAACUCCUUCCAGCCUCUUGAUACUGAAGGCCCCGAGACCAAAAUCUAAGCCUGACUGUAGAGGAAGACAUGGAGUGUCUGGAGGAUCAGAGUUAGAGCCAGGAAAACACAGUCCAAAGAUCCGAGCGGACCAGGGUCGCGAUGGAUGUGUAGGGUUUAAGUGGGUCAGAACGUGAGAGAGGUGGAACGAUUAGAAAGUUGAAAAAGUAAAGGGAUGAAAAGAGAGUGAAAGAGAUUGAUGGACAUUUUUGCAGCUAUAACCAGACUCUCAAAAUAACAGACUAACAGACAUAUAACCCCUGAUUCCAAUGAUCCUUUUUGAUGAUUUGUUGUGCAGUAUUUUAACUGAAAUUAGAUCCAAUAAGGGCGCUUGGCUUGUUAUAUUUCUGGGUAGUCAGAACUCCACUGCCAGCCCGACAGGGUCCCGGACUGGUGGAUGUAAUUGUGAGCAGAGUGAGUGCAGAGUGGAGGUGUAGGGAUGAGAAGCGAAGGCCAGAGAAAGUGAUGAGCGAGGCUCUGCGGCUGUCAGUCAGCUUUGCAUAUACAGUAGAAGCAGUCAGUGUGAAACGGUGGUCUGCUGGUCAAGUCUAUUUUAUUUUUUCACAGCUGUGCUUUAAGCCUGCCUGCGCAGAAAAGUACUGUACUAACUCCUGCAGAUAGCGCUGAGGCGUGCAAUACUGUGUUAACCAUUGCGUUAUGUCUUCGUCGAGCACUAUGUUCUGCUUUAGUAGCUUUUAUAAAAGUAGACAUCACUUCAGCCCCAUUUAUUGUGUCUAGCUGGUGCAUUAAGGGCGUUUGUUUUCACACCUGUAAUUGGUUUACUCUUGGUUUGGCAUUUUUUCAUUGCUGUAGUAAUUAUCUGGACAGGAUACCAGUAGAACUGGCCUUUAGCUCGAACCUGCUGAGUGCACCUAAUAGUUGGGUCGGAUCCAGGUUCUUAAUGCGGUCGUUUUGUUCCACAUCUGAGUACGAUUACUGUAUUCACUAGGGCUGUGUGAAUAACCAUGUUUAUAUCGUUAUCGCAAAGUAAAUUUUCACUAUAAGCUUAUAGUGAAAGAUCUGCGAUAGCACCUUUAAUAACAGCAUAACAGCAAACUCUUAACACUUGCAUUACACGUGUUCAGCAACAGAGGGAGCUCUUCAUGCUGCAGAGUGUGCUCACAUGUGUACGCACAAAUAGGCUGGAUGUAGAGCGAGGCAGAGUGAGGUAUAGUGAGGUAAAGGUAAAAAGUAAAUUCCCACUAAAUGUAAAAAACAGAGACUGUAAAAAAGAUGGACGUCGUGUCGCCGUUCCCAUUCAUUUAAUGAAAAUGAAGCCAAAAUCUUCCUCCAUGUUUGUGAUCCUGAUACCCGAUUCUGCGCAGUAGAGACCGGAGGAGGGAGAAAGACUGUGGAGAGACCGCCUACUAAUUUAAAUAACCCCGCCCCUGAGGGCUGCCUCGAGGUCACAGGCUGCAGAGCGGAGCGGAGCGGAGCUGACGGUCUGUUAUUGGCCCCGCCCAUAACCAGCCCUUUUACAAUAACCACACGUUUGUUGAAUAGAGCUGAAUAACGUUUUAAAAAACGAAUUCUGUGAGGAUAUAAAAAUUUAACAAUAUAAGCAGAGGUUACACUAGCUGCUGCAUUUAAAUAAUGGAGGUAGAAUUACAGUAUAUUAGAAAAAAACGUGAUUGAAAGUUGUUCUGUUUCUCCAUUGAAACCUAUGGGGAUGGGUGGGGUUACACAGCUUUCUGAAACCGAACAGCAGGGGGCGCCCGACCUGUGGUGGCUUCACUUUUGAGAGACGAUGCUCUGUCCAGCUAUACACAGUCUAUGAUUCAGGCACACUCAAAACAGAGGACAAAGAAUUAUUUAUAAGAAGUAUUAAUUUUUUUAUAAGAAGUAUUUAAUUGUUGAAAAUAAUACUAAUCACCAUCACCGUAGUUUUAAUGCUGUAUCGCCGUUUUCUCCAUAACAACCAUAAAAAAUUAUUAUUGCUAGGAGUUGUUCUCAGUAGCUUUCUUGCUAGCUAGCUAACUUUCCCUUUCCACCUCAAAUGGUUAAACAGACAACAGAGGCUGCAUCAUUUAAGGUGGAAGGGAAAAUAGAAUAAAAGCUAAAUAUAGAGUUUCAGCUUCCCAGCAUAGAUUUAUUAUAAUUAAGGAAUGGACAAUAAUAAUGAAUUGCUGCACCACCUGCCCCCUUAUUAAAAACAUUUGAUGAGUAACCUAAAGUUAACUAAUUGAGCAGCUGUUAGGUUGCUGAACAGGGUCGCCUACAGGUUCUUGAAAGGUUGUCCCAGUGCUUAGGGGGAGGAUUUCACCAUUUCCUCAUGUAACUAACCAGCUAAUUAAGGUCUGAGACCAUAGUAAAAAAAAAAGUUUUAGGCUUUAAGCCUUCUCUCAAAGGUCUCAGGGCGUUUUUUUUGGUAUAAAUCCGACUUAAUAACUUAAUACCUUUUGGAAAUCAGUUUAUCUUCGUUCCAUUUUACUGUUUACAGUAACUGAUCUGACUACAGGCUCAUUUUAACCAGCUGUGCCCAAAUGUUUUAAUGCCUCUGUAUCUCGCUAUCUAGUGCUCAGUCUGUCACUUUAUAUAUUAAGUACUAUGCAAUGGUCAGAGACCUCACUUUAUUAAUUUUUAAAUACAUUUUUCACUCAAAACAACCGCUAAGUACAGUAAGAUUUAAAUGCAAUAGAAACCUCAACAACUAAAGAGAAGAUCAGUAUUUUCAUGUCUGUCCUUUUUAUCCAAAUUAGGAGGUUUGUAAAUACGUAGAGUCUGGAGCCUGGGGCUCUGAGUGGUCCAGCAGGCAAAGCGCUGCCACUAUGAUCAGGAGAUCGCUGGUUCGAAUCCUGUUCAUGUAGCUUGCCAUUGACUACAGGAGCCUCGCUCUCUCUGGGUGGGUAGAUGGCGCUCUCUUUCCCCACAUCACUCAAAAGGGAGAGGUCAUUCAGCACAAGGCUGCGUCUGUGAGCUGAUGUAUAUGAACCUGUAUCUAUCGCAGCGCUUUACUCAGAGUGCGCUGUGAUGCUGCUCAGCAAUGCUGAGCAAAAAAAAAAUAUAUAUAAUUUCUAAUCACCAUGAACUUAAUUGGCAGUUCUACAUCCUUUUGGACCCCCAGUUUUUGAAACCAUCAUGUUUUAAAAUUGAAUCCCGGUUGUGUUCAGCCUUUUUUGAGUGGAAUAUUUUAAUCUCUUAAUCUACUAAAAAUGAAUUAACCUGUAUUUAAUGGCCGUUUUGACUGAAAAUCCCAAAAAUAAUGAAUGGUGGUCUCUGACUAUACACAGUACUGUACACAAACUGUCCACUUUAUUAGAAACACCUAGCCUGUAGUGUUUUCUUUUUAACCGUUUUAUACUAUAGUCUGUAUUUGAGUUCAUGCACUGCUGCCCUCUGCAUUGCCUUCCACAUUGGUCAGUUUCUGGCUGCUGGACCAAUCACUGUUCACCAAAUGAAAACUGUAAAAGAGGCAGGGCAGUCAGAUAAGCCAGAUGUUUCUGAGAAAGUGGUCAGUAACAGUAUAAAACUCACCACCCCCUCCACCCCCAUACACACACAUCUCUAUGCUGACUCAUGUCUGAUAGGGAGGUGGAUGCUGGUGGGCGUGACCCUUUAGCUGCCAGUCUGCACCGCCCCCUGCCUCUCUCAUCUUUGAUUCAGUCCCACCUCAUGGACAACAAGACCAGUGCAUUCACACACGCUCACAAACACAAUUACACACUAAAUUCUCAAAUAUUUGCUUCAUUUUAGUCUAGUUUCUAACUCAGAAAAAUUAAAGGUAUCUUAUUUAUCCGUUCCACAUCCUGAAAUGGGACUGAAUCUCUUCCUCCUCCUCCUCCUCUUUUACUGCUUGCUGCUUUAUAACAGUGGCAAACCAUGAGCUACAUCAGCUACUCCUGUCCUAAGCCUGGUUUCACUGUCCCGGGUGCUUCAGACUCUCUCCUCCGCUUCCUGUCCUCAUCCAGCCCCUCAGACCUCCGACUCUGGUGUUGAGUGCAUCCACCAGCCUGUAGCUGUAUUCUCAGCGUAGGUCAGCUGAGCUUGUAGAGGUGGGGAUGCUAUUAAAUCAGUGUUUGUGAAGCCUUUGCCCUCACCACAACUCCCUUCUGCCCCCUGUGGUAGAAUCCUAGUGCUUGUUAGCAGCUUUAAUAACACUUAGUGCAGUGGUUUCCAGUCCUGCUCCUGAAGAUCCUCUGUUCUGCAGAGUUUAGUGUUUUCCUCCUCUGCUCUGCUUAAA